RNAcentral lists this transfer RNA (72 nucleotides) under Candidatus Kaiserbacteria bacterium. RNAcentral describes it as "tRNA-Arg". It matches the Rfam family "tRNA". From Rfam's summary of the family: Transfer RNA (tRNA) molecules are approximately 80 nucleotides in length. The record is from RNAcentral. Lineage: Bacteria; Candidatus Kaiseribacteriota.
CUCCCUGUAGUUCAACGGAUAGAACAAGUCACUCCUAACGACUAGAUGUAGGUUCGAUUCCUGCCAGGGAGA